CCGGCUCUUAAAAAGGAAUUGUCCUACGACCUACAAGUCGGACACGUUCUCCAAUCUUAUGCCUUCACCUCUGCAACUCCUCAAGGCCAACCAAAGCUAUCUGGCCACUCCGUCCAUCAGGGACCUGAAAUUUUAAUCCCACAACCGGGAUGAGACGAUGUCUCAGCAAGUUCAACCCCCUAAACCCCUAUUAGAAAGAAAAUACGCCCAAGGGUGGCCUAGCCACAUCACACAGAGAGCUUACCUCGCCUCAAUUCUUCCCUGCAGGUUAGCACAAUUCAAAUCGCUCAAUCACAGAUAGUAAUAGGAACUUAAACAACCGGAACGCAUUCUCUUUCAUAUAACCAACAACCACAGGGGGUCCUGAUUAUAAGACUAAAUCGUUAUGACACGUCCCAUUCCAUGCCACACAAUUCCGUCCCAUAAUCUGACACAUCAAUAACACUCAACAUGCAUUCCAAUUGAUAUUCACUGCCACACAAGGGCAUAGCCUACUCGCAGUUCGGCUAUCUACUGACACUAAUGCCAGGCAUCGCCUCCCCCCCAUGGAGCGUGGCUUCGUCAUUACAUCGACGGCAUUCCCGAAGGAGCAUGGGUCCAGUCGGCCUAGCCACUACUACGACCCAAGCCACGUCACUCUCCUGACAGCAUUUCUAUAAGAACAAAGGUCCAGUCGGCCUAGCCACUACUGCGACCCGAGCCACGUCACUCUCCUGACGGCAUUUCUACAAGAACUAAGGUCCAGUCGGCCUAGCCACUACUGCGACCCGAUGCCACGUCACUCUCCCGACGGCAUUUCUACAAGAACAAAGGUCCAGUCGGCCUAGCCACUACUGUGACCCGAGCCACGUCACUCUCCUGACGGCAUUUCUACAGAAUAAGGAUCUAGUCGGCCUAGCCACUACUGCGACCCGAGUCUUUCAACCAGCACACAACAAUUCAAUAAUCAAUUGCACAAAUCGUCACUCAAUUUGUAAUAUCUAAUCAUCAAAUUCAUAAUCUGAAUACACAGCAGCGAUCAGCACAAAAUUCUGAGAAUUUAGGGUCCCAAAAUAAUUUUCGGAAUUUAUUUAAUAAUUAAAUUUAUUCCGAAAAUAAUUAAAUAAUAAUAUCCAUAUAUUUCACGAUCCACGCUCAAUUUAUAAUAUCCAUCCAUCAAUUUCGAAGUCCGAAUGCACAGCAGCGAUCGGCACGAAAUUCUGAGCAAUCGGGGUCAAAAAUAAUUUUUCCAUUUUUUUUUAAAAUAAUAAUAUUUUAAUAAUUUCGGAAUAUAAUAUAAUAUUAUAAAUUCCAGAAUUCGAAAUCAUUAAAUAAUUCAAAAAUAAAACCCUAUUAUGUCACAUCAAGGCUUUAUAUUAAAAAUAAACAUAUUUAACUUUAAACUAAACACACUUUAACUUAAUUAAACAUCAUAAUAUAAUCCUCAACCAAAUAAACUAAUCUAACCACAUAAACUUACUUAACUUAGACUAAGCACACUUAGGGCAUCAUUAACCGUCUAAUCAAGAUUUAGUGAGUUAAACUCACCGGAUUAACGAGCCGAGCGGACCAAAACGACGAGGGCGACGCGAGGAUCGACUUUCCUCAAAGCGGGCCGAGCAUCCGGGCUUGGGAAGGCAGCCAAAACGGCCCACGAAGGGGCUGCCAUACCCAUUUUCUUCUUCUCUGCUUGCUGCUGGUUGGGGGCGAAGGAGGGC
RNAcentral lists this long non-coding RNA (1697 nucleotides) under Eucalyptus grandis. RNAcentral's name for it is "long non-coding RNA (EGRA_LNC006120)". The record is from RNAcentral. Lineage: Eukaryota; Viridiplantae; Streptophyta; Magnoliopsida; Myrtales; Myrtaceae.